RNAcentral lists this ribosomal RNA (253 nucleotides) under uncultured bacterium. RNAcentral describes it as "partial 16S ribosomal RNA". It matches the Rfam family "Bacterial small subunit ribosomal RNA", at positions 524 to 776 of the family's 1533-position model. The record is from RNAcentral.
UACGGAAGGGGCAAGCGUUGUUCGGAAUCAUUGGGCGUAAAGGGCGCGUAGGUGGUUCUGUAUGUCUACCGUGAAAGCGUACGGCUCAACCGUAUUUUGUCGGUGGAAACUGCAGGACUUGAGGCUGGGAGGGGCUGGUGGAAUUCCCUGUGUAGCGGUGAAAUGCGUAGAGAUGGGGGAGAACACUCGUGGCGAAGGCGGCCAGCUAGACCAGUUCUGACACUGAGGCGCGACAGCGUGGGGAGCAACCAGG